UACGGGGGGGGCAAGCGUUGUUCGGAAUUACUGGGCGUAAAGGGUUUGUAGGUGGCCGGCUAAGUCAGACGUGAAAUCCCUCAGCUUAACUGGGGAACUGCGUCUGAAACUGAUCGGCUCGAGUGCAGGAGAGGAACGCGGAAUUCCAGGUGUAGCGGUGAAAUGCGUAGAUAUCUGGAGGAACACCGGUGGCGAAGGCGGCGUUCUGGACUGCAACUGACACUGUAAAACGAAAGCCAGGGGAGCAAACAGG
RNAcentral lists this ribosomal RNA (253 nucleotides) under uncultured bacterium. RNAcentral's name for it is "partial 16S ribosomal RNA". It matches the Rfam family "Bacterial small subunit ribosomal RNA", at positions 524 to 776 of the family's 1533-position model. The record is from RNAcentral.